GGAAAGAAAGGCCAACGGAAGCACAGGGAUUGCAAACCACUGCCCUGAUACCAAAAAGCCUCUGAAUCAACCCUGGAACUGGGAGGAUGAACCAGUAAUUCAGACUACAGGAAAAAAGCAGUAAGACAGUUCAGAAAAGCUUAAAAAUCUUGAAGUCUGUUCCAUGAAGGAAAGGGUCACAACGAAUGUCGGCACAGUACUUCACAAACCUGAUGCCAACAGCAACUGUGAAAUGGAAGCAACUCUACAAAUUAUUGCCAUCAUGAGACUAUCAUUAGGUCUACAUAGCUCAAGCUUCACUUGGAGUUCAAUUGUGUGAUUCAGAAGCACAGCUAGGAUAAGUCAGAGACUGGAAAGGGGAAGAGGAGAGACGUGCAGGAUAUUUUUUUUUAACCAGUGAAACAACUCCCGACUUCCAGGACCAGACAAUAUACUUAAUGCACAAAACCAAUAUAUUUUAUGGCCUAAAUGAAAAAAAGUAAAGUGGAAGGUCGGGCGCUGUUCCUUUAAGAUGCUUCCAGAAUCAAAUACCACUCUUGAAAGGGCUGCCAAACAAUGUAUCCAGGUAAAGAAUGAAAAAAAUAUAUUCAGAGGAAAGGCAGGAGGAUGUGUGGAAAGCUCAGUGAGAUUAUGGAAGUGCAGUAAUUGAAUAUGACACAAGAGUCAAGUGCAAGAGGGAACUGGCUGGAGUGCAGUGGCGCAAUCUCAGCUCACUGAAACCUCCACCUCCCAGGUUCAAGUGAUUCUCCUGCCUCAGCCUCCCGAGUACCUGGGAUUCCAGGUGAGCGCCACCACACCCGGCUAAUUUUUGCAUUUGUAGCAGAGAUGGAGUUUUGCCAUGUUGGCCAGGCUGGUCUUGAACUCCUGACCUCAAAUGAUCCGCCCGCCUGGGCCUCCCAAACUGCUGGCAUUACAGGCGCAAGCCACUGCACCUGGCCUUAAUCACUUUUUGCUGAAAUAAAUUGCACACU
Molecule: long non-coding RNA, 971 nt
Organism: Homo sapiens (human)
Lineage: Eukaryota; Metazoa; Chordata; Mammalia; Primates; Hominidae
Exons: 8
Source: RefSeq, a predicted model, not a curated record